Lutra lutra (Eurasian river otter) is the source of this 816-nucleotide long non-coding RNA. RefSeq lists it as uncharacterized. The record is from RefSeq and is a predicted model, not a curated record. NCBI's taxonomy places the organism in Eukaryota, Metazoa, Chordata, Mammalia, Carnivora, Mustelidae. The transcript has 3 exons.
ACCAGCUGGCUCCCGGUUCGGGCAAAGAUGAGAUUCAGGUUGAGUCCUUCCUCUGGCGCUGUAACUGUCAGAUUUCUUUUUGUUUUAUACAUUUCUUAAAGUUCAUGAGAAAGGAAUUGCGAACUGAAGCUUACACGGUGAAGUUAAACAAGAUUUUUAGCGGGAGCAAGUGGGGGGAUGGUGCUAAAAAUGGAAAACGUAAAAAUGACUUAGGCUGAACCUAAGUUCCUUAGAGAACUUUGGAUCUCAAAGCUGCAUCAAAUGUCGGCUCCUUGGAUAUCACCCUUACGGCGGCCGUCGAUAAUAAACGGAGUUUAUUGCUAAUCGCGGUGACGGAGAACACCGCCGCAGCUGACACAGCACUUCCACGGGGCCGCGAAGUCAAGGUUGGAAUUAACUGAGAAUUCCAAGUUUGGUUUCAAUGCAACGAACUUGAUUAGGUUUACGUAAGGUUCAUGGAACUACAGCCCAGGAUUGGGGGGAGUGGGGAGGGUUUUUAGGUGCCAGGUGCUGCUGCUUGCUUUCGAAGAGAUUUAAAGUUAAUGGGAGAUUGAAGAUUGAUGGAACCUGUGGAAGUUCCAGUGAUGAACAAUCAAGAAAUUUGCUUGGACGGGAAUCUCCGUGCUAAUGACAACAUAGACGAUACGGAAUCUUAGAACAAAUCCCUGACAUCGUGUUUUUAACUCCUCAAUACUUUGGUAAAUAUCAAAUACUUUGACCUUUGGCCUGCUGAGGAAUCGCGUCAGUUGUCAUGAUGUCCCACAUCUGGGAUCUCUCCAAUUAUUUCUUUGUGUCAUUAAACAAUUUGUUUCUCUA